RNAcentral lists this small nucleolar RNA (123 nucleotides) under Nannospalax galili (Upper Galilee mountains blind mole rat). Its description in RNAcentral is "Small nucleolar RNA SNORD22 (ENSNGAG00000006849.1)". It matches the Rfam family "Small nucleolar RNA SNORD22". From Rfam's summary of the family: U22 is a member of the C/D class of snoRNA which contain the C (UGAUGA) and D (CUGA) box motifs. U22 is encoded within the U22 snoRNA host gene (UHG) in mammals and has also been identified in Xenopus. Lineage: Eukaryota; Metazoa; Chordata; Mammalia; Rodentia; Spalacidae. The record is from Rfam by way of RNAcentral.
UUACAUGAAGAAAUAGUCACAUCUUACUUCCUGUCCUAGCCUCAGAGCCUGAAAAGGGGAACCCACUGGGGCUUGCUGGGAGAAAAGAGGAAAAUUUGUUCCAGAAGGAACUAUCUGAGGGAU